CUGGGAGCCAUUCCCUGUGUCCUGUCCCUCCAGCCCUUGGCAAUUGUCUCUCUCCAUCUUUGCUGCAGCUCCUUCAGGCCCUGCAGGGCCACCCUGAGCUCAGCCCAAAGCUUCUCCUGUGCAGGUUAAAGUCCAUUCUCACCUCAUCAGAAAAUGAAUAUACAUGCAUGUGUGCUGUAGCUAAGACUGAAAGGAUAAUUGCUUCCACUUGCCUGACCAUUGGAUAAAAUUAUUUGCAGAGUUACAGGCAACUCCUGUGAAUGCUGAGAAGAGAUUAAAGAUAAAAUUGUUUGUGCUGAUAUCUCAAGGAAGUGAGCAAUGGUGGGAUUAAGGAAUGUGGAAUUCCAAGGAGCCAGCUGAAGAUGGAACUGACUGAAGUAUGAGGGAUGGCUUUGUGCUCCUGCUGAAGGUGGAGGGAGCCCACAAACUCACACUUUAUGUGCUUUGGCUUCUCUUUGCAGCAGGGGAGUUUUUAGGGCAAAUGUGGGGGAGAGAUCUGUGUAAAAUGAGAUGGGAAUUUGUGUCUGCUGGAGCUGGAAGCUCAAAGCCUGAAGCCUUGAGGUUCCUGACAGGAAGAUUUGUUCACACUGUUCUCAUCCCUGGAAGGACAUGGAGUGCAGGUCUCAGAAUCUCCUUCUUCUGGCUCUCAGCCUCCAUCAGUGCUCUGACUCUGCAAUGUAUUAAUUGUAUGAAGUGCACAGUGUCCUGCUGCAUCCAUUCACCUGAGCCCUGCAUUGGGCUUUUCCCCUGCAAAGUCACAAUUUCUUCCUGGCACCAAAAUCCUAAAGAGGACAGAUUUGUAGUGGUGUGGUUGUGUGCAACAGCUGUGGAGGGAGGAACUCCCACUGGCCCCUCAGUCAAAAGGAAUCCAAGAAAUUAAG
Long non-coding RNA from Passer domesticus (house sparrow), 881 nucleotides. RefSeq lists it as uncharacterized. The transcript is spliced from 5 exons. The record is from RefSeq and is a predicted model, not a curated record. NCBI's taxonomy places the organism in Eukaryota, Metazoa, Chordata, Aves, Passeriformes, Passeridae.